UCGGGUGUGGGGCCUCAGUGUUCCCAUCUGCGAAAUGGAGUGAGACGAGACGACCUCAUAUAGAGUUGGGUUUUAAUAUUUUGUGAGUCAAUGAGACCCUUCACCCUAACUUGGCUCAUGUUCCCUACCCAUCUUCCCCUAAAGCUACCAUCAUCAAGGCCACUGAUCUCCAAGAGAUCAGUGAGCAAUGGCUUGAAGCAAGAUCUUAAUUCCCUGCUCAGCAUUUGAACCUGGGCAGGCUGGGUUGAAAACCAGGAGUCCCAGCUGCUAACCCAACAAGAGGCUACAGGCGAAAAGCACAGUGGCCCUUAUUCUUGCCCCUGUUGAAAGCAAGAAUGCUUCAAGGAGGCCAAGACUGAAAAAACAGGUGCAAAGUUUAUCAUCACAGACACAGGGAGAGCACACGGAGAAGAAGUCUAUUUAUUUAUACUCCAAAGAGAAGUGGGAGUGGGAGCGUCCUCCUGAAUGGGGAGCUCCUCAGCGAGGUGAUUUCAAUCACUUAUACGGGACUGAUCUUCAGGGUCUUUGUUUUCCUUUGGCCCAUUUUCUUGUGUUAUUUCUCACACCUGACUGGACCCAGGGCCCUCCCCUAUGCAUGUGCAUCUUUUGGCCAAAAUGGAUUCCAGAGCAAGGGCUUAUGGGAUGGUUAAUGGGACUUUUUAGGGCCUGGUGUCCCCUCCUAUUUUGACCCCCAGGGGUCUUCUUUCACACAUCUAAUCAGGGAGGUUUCAUUGACCCCCCAAGAGUGAUUCAAGUGGUCCUCUUACAUUUUUACUACAGUAGAGCUCAGCUCCUGCCAUGAACUUUCUCCUCGAUGUGUCAAAGAGAAGCAAGGCCCAGUGCACUCAGCACAACAAGUCCCCACUAUUCUCAGCCCAGGAGCCCAUCUACCUCCUACCUCUCCAGCACCGACUUGGGUCUGACUGGAAAAGAUGACAGCACAUACCUCCUGAUCAGAACAUAUCAGCUCAUUGAUUAUCUUUGUGUUUUGCAAGAGGCCAUCCUCAUUCUUUCUCCAAGUGUAUUUCUGAAACUUCUUGGUCAGAUGAGGAAACAUUUCAAUCAUAGUUGUAACAUAUUAGAACUGGUAGUGGCUUCUAGCGGCCUCUAGCCUAGUAGCUCUCAACCUCAGCUGAACACUGCAAUUAAAGAAGGAAUUUUUUUAAAAAAACAUCAAUUCCUGAGUCCACCAUUUAAGAGAUUUUUUGUAAUUGGCCUGGGGCAUGGCCUGGCCAUCUGGUUUUCUUUUCUUUCCAUUCCUUUCUUUUAUGUCUUUCUUUUUAAAUGCUCCAAGUUGUGCUAAUGUCCAUUGCUGAAACUACAUGGUUCUCUUGCUGCACUUCAGACCAGCAGCCUCAACAUCACCUGGAACUUGACAGCCAUAUAUUCUCAUCCCCACCCCACACCCACUGACUCAGAAACUCCCCAUUGGAGCCCAGAAAUGUUUUAACAAGGCUUCCAGGUGUUUACAAUGCGCAAGCCAUGUUAGAAUUUGAGAACGAUUGCAGCACAAUAAUCCCUAACAGGAGGGUUGGCAUUUUAAGGAAAGACUCUCCCUUAAGCAGGUCUCGGUGGUGAUAGGUGUGUCUUUGUGGAGGUGCGGGAGUUGCCAGCAGCCAUUGGCCAAGGUCCAGGUGGUGACAUUGUCAGGCCUCAGUGAAGCUAGCAUUACUCUCUGCCUGGACUCCUACAGUAGCUUCUAACUAUACUCACCAAUUCCAUUCCUUUCCCUUUCCAAUUUGUUCUCCAUGCGGUGGCAGAGGAAACUUCUACAUGCAGACGUGAGAUUCCUGUCUCCUGUUUUCCACGCAUAAGGGCUUAAAAGAAGCACCCAUAGUUCCUGCCUGAGGCUGGGGUGGUGCCCUCAGUGGCCAGGCAGAUGAUCCAGAGGAGUGAAGUGACACAGCUGUGCUGAGAGGGAAUGCUGCAUGUCCAGCUACAGAUGCUAUCAACUCACACUUAGCCAAAUCAUGUCCUCGGCAAGCCGAAGGUGGCCACGGACUGUUACAAGGCAGCCAGUUUGAGACUCAGAGGUCUGGGGGUGGGGAAGGGGGUAGGAUUCACAAAACGACUUAAUGGAUAUAUAAUUAUUACACUGAGGUUCCUUGAUCAGAGGGGUAGUGGUUCCUCUUUCCCAUUCUGUUUAGUCAGGAUGCAUGGGCCUCAGAAGAGACCACCACUUCCCUUAAGGAGCUUAAAAAUCUAAAUGAGACAAAACCCACCUGGGGAAUGCAGUAGAAUGGCAUGAGCAUUGUGUUUCUAUUUCUAUAAGGAAGGACUUUGGUGGAGACGUGGCUCUUAUAACUGAUGUUUAUGUAAUGGGACCACAAUUGAACUUUGAGGAUUUAGAGCAAUCUAAUUCUGCAACCUUGAACUUGGCCUUUCUAGGCGAAAUGAAAUAGAUAACAUCCAAUCUUUAAGGAGCAUUUGCUAUGUUCUGGGUGCUCUACCAAGUGUGUCAAGGCAGUUUCUCAUUGAACCCUCACAGCAACCCAGUGAUACGGAUAAAUUAUUCCUGAGAAAAAAGCAGCGAUAGGUGAAGACACUUGUUCAAGGUCACAUAGUCCUAGCCCCUGUGAUAGAGCCCGGUCUGAAACCAGGCCCAAAGGACUCCGUGCUUUUAAGCAACACCCCGUAUUUCACAGUGGGAGCUCCAUGUCUAUGAAAUGGAAGCACUAACCUGUGUUGGUCCGAAACAGAUUUUAGCUUACUCAGGUCCAUGGCAACCUGAGCGUUUGGGUGGUGCUCUGAUGCCAACCCCUUUAUAGCUCAAUCUUCCCUUGUCUCCAUAUUAUUUACUCAGAAUCUUAUUUGCAUUUGCGGAGGAAGCUGCUAGUGGAGAAGCUGGCAGGAGCCUUAAUGAAGCCAGGUGGGACCCAUUGAGACGGGGCUGCGUUGAACUAACUCAUGAGGCGCUGAAGCCAGCUGUCAGCAGGCUUAAUGAAAGGUUAAGAGGAAUCCGGCAAUGGGCGGCUGGGGAGAGUCUUUGUCUCUCUUAAGAAAACAAAAAGUUGAGAUGUGGGCUCCCUGGGUGGAGGCCAGAGCAGAAGGAGGAAGCCACUUGUAACCGAAAGACUGCGUUUGAAAUAGAGUUUCAUUUAGAUUUGUGAACAUGUUACCGUCCUAAAAAAAAAAAAAAAAAAAAAAAGCACUCUGAGUUCUCAGCUCUCUGAGCAUCAAAGGACAGCAAAGGGAAGUUUUCUGGAAUAUGAUGAAUGCUAAUGCCACUGCUAAGGAGCUUGGGGAGCCUUGGAGAUGGCUGCCUGCAAAACAGAAGAGUCGUAUUGAAUGUUGCAGCUGCCACUGUGCCCCCUCCAGGGUAGUCUACUCGCAAGGAAGUGGAGCUCAUAUAUGAGAAUGAAGAACAAACCCCUGUGACGUUGGUUGAGUCUUAAUUAUGCCAAGACUGUAUCUCUACUUCAGUACAGGAUGCUGUCACAGACGAGAGACAACAAACAGGAGGGAGAUCAAAGUUUUACAGCCUCAUCCACCCAAGAAGGAUCGUCUAGAAACUGGUAGGAGACACUUCUUAACAGCUCAAAAAAUAGCUUAGCAUGUUGGCAACUUCACAGCAGAGCGGUUUGGACUUAGACCCACAUUUCAGCUCUGCACUUUUUUAACAAGUGGCUUGGAGCAAGUUUCCUAACUUUUCUAAAUCUCAGUUUCCUCAUCUGUUGAUAGGAACUAUAAGGGAACCUAACUCAAAGGCUUGCUUUGAAGAUGAAAGAAGUGAAUGCAUAUAAAACACUUAGCGUAGUGCCUAGCACAUAGUAAGUUCUCAAUGAAUAUUAGUUAAUAAAAAAUUAUUCUUAUAGUUGGAAAAUAGAAUCCCACUCUUACCACAUCUUAGAGCAGGCUCUGGGUCCAAAGAGACCUCUUUGAAUGUAUGCCAGAUUUUGUGGGUGUGAUUCUUUUGGGGGAGAAGGUUCAAAAUUUUUCUCAGAUUCUCCAGAGAACUUAUGACCCCCCAAAUGUUAGGACCUCAUGCAUUACAUAAAUAGGGAGCUAAAAAAGCAUCAGUGUUCUCUUUGUCAACAAAUAGCAUUGUCCUGCCCUCAGACAACCCUUUGCUAUACUGUUCCUGUGUAAUCCAAUAGAUUGGCUUGGAAUUGAUGAAAUCGGAGCUCUCUCUGAUGUCACCAGAAUAACUCAAAAUGUAGAAGUAGCUGCAAAGACACUGGAAGAAGGGAAACUACUAGACCAGUUUAGGAGUGCAGAGUAGAUUUUAGGUAAGAUAGAGGUUUCCUUUUCUCUUCUCCCCAAGAAGGGAACUUCCUGCUUGUUUAAUUGAUCUGACCUUAGCUAAUGUUCAGCAAUGAAGCAGAAUCUUCUCUUUCCCUGAUAAGGGUGUCCACAUGCCUAAGGCAUGUGGCGUUUUGGAACACUAUUCUGGUUUCCCAUUGCAGCUGCUGGAUUGUAAGUACUUCUUGCGUACAGCAACUUUUCCUCUGUUCAUUUGCUAAGCUGAUGGAAGUGGAAUUGAUAUCACCAUUUGUUGGGCAGAAGUUAAGCAUUGCUGUUGGUAUGUUUGAGACUGUUUACUGAUGGAUUUGAUAAAAUCAUUAAUGCUGUUAUGAUAUCACAUCUACUGUUGCAUCCUGUUGAGCUGCUCGCUCUCUCCCUUUUUUUUUUGUCCCAAGGGAAGAUGCUCACUUUCUACUCUGUCAGUAUCUAUAAAAGGAAGGUGGUGGGAUAAAACCAAAGAAAGUAGCCCACAGAGCAUGGGCCACCCCAAAUGGGAUGUUUUCUUUUAUCCUUGUGCUCUAACAAUACUCAAAAUGAGGACCUCCCACAAAUAACUAUUUUUCCUUGGCCAUUCAGACUUGCCUUGAGAAAUUUCAAGGACUCUAUUAUGAAGAAAGCUUUUAAGAACUGUAGAAAUCACAUUGCUUUUGAAAGUGCCAAUGCGAGUGGUGUGCUCUGCUGGCUGAAGCAGCAGGCUUCAGAGUGCUUUAUCUCUUAUCAGCGGUUUAGCUUUGUGAAUGAGAAAUUCAGAGGCAACUGUAUAAUUUUAAAUUCUGAUUACCACAAAGAAAGAGAUGUAUCUGACAUCCCAGUGCAGUGGCUUUGACUAUUUUAAUGGAAAUAUGCUGGAACUGGGGGAGCCUUCUACGGAGGAGAAAGUGAUGAAAGACCCAAAGAGAGACAUUUUUAUCUUUGAGAUAAAAGGCCUGUUUUCUAAGGUUGUUUCUUUUAUUAUGACUUUUUCCCCCCACCUGCUAUGGGGUGCACUAUGCAAAUGUAUCAUUCUAGGAACUGCUUCCUUAGCCUCUUUGUGCCUGAGAUUUCCUGGAGCAAGGGAAAGAGAGGACACGGUCUUGUUUACAAUGUACGUAAGUGAGAGUUUCACCUUGCAGAGAGCCUUAAAAAUAAGGAUCAGUUGGUUAAAUGGAUCUGUGUACCUCCUUGAUCCAGACACCACACUCCCUUUUGCCUAAAAUAAACAAAAGCAAGAUAUUCUCAUGUAGCUGCUCAUGUGAAGGGGAAUUUAAUCCUCUUUUAGUCGAAUCUAGAGGAAAUGCUGGAGGACUCCUUUAACUGACAUUGUGGGUAUUUUUAUUAAAAAAAAA
This is a long non-coding RNA of Sus scrofa (pig), 5570 nucleotides long. RefSeq lists it as uncharacterized. NCBI's taxonomy places the organism in Eukaryota, Metazoa, Chordata, Mammalia, Artiodactyla, Suidae. The record is from RefSeq and is a predicted model, not a curated record.